GUGCUGUACGUCCAAGAUGGCGGCGCCCUGUAGGCUGGAGGGACUGUGAGGUAAACAGCUGAGGGGGAGGAGACGGUAGUGACCAUGAAAGACACCAGGUUGACAGCACUGGAAACUGAAGUACCAGUUGUCCCUAGAACAGGCUCUGGGGCUGCCUGCAUUUGGAGGACCAGAUCUGACAUUAUCGUCUUCUGACUACACAGAAGGCAAACUCAGAGUCUCCCUAGACAGAUAGUAGUUUGUUAGUGGCCCCAAUGAAGAACCUUCAGAACCUGUAGCACACGUCCUUGAGCCGGCACAGCGCCUUCGAGUGAGAGAAUGGCCCAACAAGCGAAUGUCGGGGAGCUUCUUGCCAUGCUGGACUCCCCCAUGCUGGGUGUGCGGGACGACGUGACAGCUGUCUUUAAAGAGAACCUCAAUUCUGACCGUGGUCCUAUGCUUGUAAACACCUUGGUGGAUUAUUACCUGGAAACCAACUCUCAGCCAGCAUUGCACAUCCUGACCACCUUGCAAGAGCCACAUGACAAGCACCUCUUGGACAGGAUUAACGAAUAUGUGGGCAAAGCUGCCACUCGUUUAUCCAUCCUCUCGUUACUGGGUCAUGUCAUAAGACUGCAGCCAUCUUGGAAGCAUAAACUCUCUCAAGCACCUCUUUUGCCUUCUUUACUAAAAUGUCUCAAG
Molecule: small RNA, 681 nt
Filed under: Pongo abelii (Sumatran orangutan)
Lineage: Eukaryota; Metazoa; Chordata; Mammalia; Primates; Hominidae
Description: processed transcript
Source: RNAcentral